This 491-nucleotide ribosomal RNA is filed under the name uncultured bacterium. RNAcentral describes it as "partial 16S ribosomal RNA". It matches the Rfam family "Bacterial small subunit ribosomal RNA", at positions 28 to 507 of the family's 1533-position model. The record is from RNAcentral.
GAUGAACGCUAGCUACAGGCUUAACACAUGCAAGUCGAGGGGAAACGAUGAGAGAGCUUGCUCUCUUAGUCGUCGACCGGCGCACGGGUGAGUAACGCGUAUCCAACCUGCCUCUGACCAAGGGAUAACCCGUCGAAAGUCGGACUAAUACCUUAUGCAGUCGUCGGAAGUCAUCUGAUGACGACGAAAGAUUUCAUCGGUGAGAGAUGGGGAUGCGUCUGAUUAGCUUGUUGGCGGGGUAACGGCCCACCAAGGCGACGAUCAGUAGGGGUUCUGAGAGGAAGGUCCCCCACAUUGGAACUGAGACACGGUCCAAACGCCUACGGGAGGCAGCAGUGAGGAAUAUUGGUCAAUGGGCGUAAGCCUGAACCAGCCAAGUAGCGUGCAGGAGGACGGCCCUAUGGGUUGUAAACUGCUUUUAUGCGGGGAUAAAGUGAGGGACGUGGCCUUCAUUGCAGGUACCGAAUGAAUAAGGACCGGCUAAUUCCGUG